UACGGGGGGGGGUAAGCGUUGUUCGGAAUUACUGGGCGUAAAGGGCUCGUAGGCGGCCAACUAAGUCAUACGUGAAAUCCCUCAGCUUAACUGGGGAACUGCGUGUGAUACUGGAUGGCUUGGAUUUGGGGGAGGGAUGCGGAAUUCCAGGUGGUAGCGGUGAAAUGCGUAGAUAUCUGGAGGAACACCGGUGGCGAAGGCGGCAUCCUGGACCAAUAUUGACGCUGAGGAGCGAAAGCUAGGGGAGCAAACGGGAUUAGAAACCCCUGG
RNAcentral lists this ribosomal RNA (270 nucleotides) under uncultured bacterium. Its description in RNAcentral is "partial 16S ribosomal RNA". It matches the Rfam family "Bacterial small subunit ribosomal RNA", at positions 524 to 791 of the family's 1533-position model. The record is from RNAcentral.